AUGCUCAUCCGAUCUGGGAGAUACCAUGAUCACGAAGGUGGUUUUCCCAGGGCGAGGCUUAUCCAUUGCACUCCGGAUGUGCUGACCCCUGCGAUUUCCCCAAAUGUGGGAAACUCGACUGCAUAAUUUGUGGUAGUGGGGGACUGCGUUCGCGCUUUCCCCUGUGUUCUUACUUGUCUGAAAGUCAGACUGCGGGUUUUAAGUGUUUUAUAAAACUGGUUUUCAGCUGUUUCAGUAAUGCUCUUCUCUAAAAAUCUCUGUUUGUGUGACUUAACUGUUAUUUACGUUCUACGAAGGAUUCCUGAAAAACCGCAACUCUAGCUCGCCGGACUAUAGAUUAGAUCUUACGGGGUUGUCUCAUCUCCCGCAGAUUGGAACUGGAAGGACGCUAGGUUCUAGUAGCUCUCCGUCACCCUGACGUUACUGAAAUUCACGGCUUUGAAUCGGUGAUGGUAUGAAACUGUUAUAGUUUCCUGUUGUCACAUUUUCUUAUGCUUUUAAAUGUCACCCUGCUUAUUUAACUUAUACGCAGAGUACAUCAUGGGAAACGCUGGGCUGGAAGAAGCUCAAGCUGGAA
Long non-coding RNA from Bubalus bubalis (water buffalo), 577 nucleotides. RefSeq lists it as uncharacterized. The record is from RefSeq and is a predicted model, not a curated record. Lineage: Eukaryota; Metazoa; Chordata; Mammalia; Artiodactyla; Bovidae. The transcript has 4 exons.